Molecule: ribosomal RNA, 482 nt
Filed under: uncultured bacterium
Lineage: Bacteria
Description: partial 16S ribosomal RNA
Rfam family: Bacterial small subunit ribosomal RNA
Source: RNAcentral
AUUGAACGCUGGCGGCAUGCCUUACACAUGCAAGUCGAACGGUAACGGGCCUUCGGGUGCCGACGAGUGGCGCACGGGUGAGUAAUACAUCGGAACGUGCCCGAUCGUGGGGGAUAACGAGGCGAAAGCUUUGCUAAUACCGCAUACGAUCUACGGAUGAAAGCAGGGGACCGCAAGGGCUUGCGCGGACGGAGCGGCCGAUGGCAGAUUAGGUAGUUGGUGGGAUAAAAGCUUACCAAGCCGACGAUCUGUAGCUGGUCUGAGAGGAUGAUCAGCCACACUGGGACUGAGACACGGCCCAGACUCCUACGGGAGGCAGCAGUGGGGAAUUCUGGACAAUGGGCGCAAGCCUGAUCCAGCCAUGCCGCGUGCAGGAUGAAGGCCUUCGGGUUGUAAACUGCUUUUGUACGGAACGAAAAGCCUUCUUUUAAUACAGGAGGGUCAUGACGGUACCGUAAGAAUAAGCACCGGCUAACUACGUG